RNAcentral lists this long non-coding RNA (602 nucleotides) under Mytilus galloprovincialis (Mediterranean mussel). The record is from RNAcentral. Lineage: Eukaryota; Metazoa; Mollusca; Bivalvia; Mytilida; Mytilidae.
UUGGGGGGCAUUUUGUUUACGGAUGGUCUUUUCGGUAUCAAUUCAUUUCUCUGUCGCAUUUAUAAUCGGUUAAGGAAAUAAUUAGAAGAAGAAAAAUGGAACUUGAAGUUAUUUGAUAAUAAGUAUCACCAGAGUAGUAGUCAGCUCUUCUAUGCUAAUAUGAAUUAUAAUUGAUUUUGUCAUAUUUAUAUUAACUGUUGACAAAAUUUUUAUUUGUGUGAAAUACUUAUGAUUUUCGAAACUAGGAAUAGAUAACCUGAGAAAUAUUUAGCAAAAACUUUCGGCUUUUUCGCUCUGAAUUCUCUUUAACAUCGUUCUUUAUUUGGUCUUAUUUUUGUUGUUUUUUUAGCUUCGCUGAUGAGAAAUUAGAGACGAAACGCGUGUCUGGCGUACACAAUUAAAACCCCGGGAUGUUUUGUUGACUUUUUUUUCACAUAACAAUAUGUUUUUGUAAAUUUAUAGACAUCAAAAUUUAAAGAAGAACCAAAUGACUUUUUAAUAGGAAUAAUCUAACACACAGUAUGUUUAGCUUCUGUCACUACUACUAACUUUUACCGCGGUUCGAUAUAAUGCGGUUUGAUCUACCGCGUUUCAAAUUAAUU